AGCCAAUUAAUCUCUAUUGAGAGAAAGAUGCCCACAGAUUUAUUAGAUAUGGUCUCUUCUAAGGUGAAAUAGAAAACAAAUAGGAAAAGAAUUCAACCACCCAACAAGCUUUAUUAUACAAAAUGAUAAACAAAUGAAUAAAAAUCUGAAAAUUUUUCUUUCAGCUCUAGAUUCUAGAUUUCAAUAAAUAAACAAAUCUUCCACUUUACCUGAUAAAGAUGAAGAUGAAGAA
This 232-nucleotide unclassified non-coding RNA is filed under the name Hevea brasiliensis (rubber tree). The record is from RNAcentral. Lineage: Eukaryota; Viridiplantae; Streptophyta; Magnoliopsida; Malpighiales; Euphorbiaceae.